GAUGAGCCGAAGUCGGAUUAGCUAGUUGGUGAGGUAACGGCUCACCAAGGCGACGAUCCGUAGCUGGUCUGAGAGGACGACCAGCCACACUGGGACUGAGACACGGCCCAGACUCCUACGGGAGGCAGCAGUGGGGAAUAUUGGACAAUGGGGGCAACCCUGAUCCAGCGACGCCGCGUGUGUGAAGAAGGCCUGCGGGUUGUAAAGCACUUUUAGUGGGGAUGAAAUGUGCAGGGUUAAUACCUCUGCAUUUUGACCUAACCCACAGAAAAAGCACCGGCUAACUCUGUGCCAGCAGCCGCGGUAAUACAGAGGGUGCAAGCGUUAAUCGGAAUUACUGGGCGUAAAGCGUGCGCAGACGGUUGCGUAAGUCGGAUGUGAAAGCCCCGGGCUCAACCUGGGAAUUGCAUUUGAGACUGCGUAGCUAGGGUGCGGAAGAGGGAAGCGGAAUUUCCGGUGUAGCGGUGAAAUGCGUAGAUAUCGGAAGG
This 488-nucleotide ribosomal RNA is filed under the name uncultured Pseudomonadota bacterium. RNAcentral describes it as "bacterial SSU rRNA". It matches the Rfam family "Bacterial small subunit ribosomal RNA", at positions 224 to 704 of the family's 1533-position model. The record is from RNAcentral. Lineage: Bacteria; Pseudomonadati; Pseudomonadota.